GGUGUAGCCAAGGAUGACUUGCCGGAAAAACUCUCCAUAAAUUUUCUGGUGAUUCAUCUUCGGUUUUUAAUCAGAAUUUCGGCAAGUUGUCCUUGGCUACAUU
This 103-nucleotide microRNA precursor is filed under the name Manihot esculenta (cassava). The record is from RNAcentral. Lineage: Eukaryota; Viridiplantae; Streptophyta; Magnoliopsida; Malpighiales; Euphorbiaceae.